AAAGUGCGACAAGUGUCAUGACUUGCAGAUACCCGAGAGCUGACAAAUUUCUGAAUGCAAAUUGCAGCCAAGUUAACCUGGCUAUGUAUUGCAGAGAGUACUUCGCUUAUGCGCGCCAUCCAGGGGUGGUUCCAUUCCUCUCUUGGGCUAUGUGCAGGCAUCUUCUUGCCUGCUGAGCAUUGUGCCGUCUCCAACCAGUUUGGAUAAAGGCCAACUCAAAUUAAAGAUAGAAAACCAACGAGUUUUCCCCGGACAAUUGAGAUAAUUGAAUACGUUCAAUGACUUCUCACCAUCCACCUCUGCAAUGCAGGAGAACCCGCUGAACUUAA
This 329-nucleotide unclassified non-coding RNA is filed under the name uncultured fungus. RNAcentral's name for it is "sequence contains ITS1". The stretch from base 1 to 101 matches the Rfam family "5.8S ribosomal RNA", at positions 50 to 154 of the family's 154-position model. Lineage: Eukaryota; Fungi. The record is from RNAcentral.